AAACUUAUAUGCACAAUACACAUCUCCUCAACUGCAUCAACACAUCGUUCACAGAAAUCUUUACAGAAAAUUGAAGAUUUCAAAUUCCGUCGGAAGUGGGAGUGGAGCACCCGCUCACUGUUUGCCGGUGGAAGCCUCUGCCGACGGUGCUCCAAAUUUCAAGUAAGAGUUUAAACUUCCGGGAAAAACAGAGGAAACACAAAUUAUUUUGGGAACGAAACAAAAUUGUGGAAUUUCCAUAAAUUUGGGUUUUCUUUCUUCAAAUCGGAAAUCUACAUAUUUCUGCAAAACCUUAUUUAUAAUUGCAUAAUUUACCGAUUCAAUCCCCUUUUAAGAUAGAAUCUCCCGGUUAUGGGGUAAGACUUCAUUGCCGUUUGUUGGUUUCCCUAGAGGCUUUUCUGUCAUUUGAUUUGGGUCGUUUUUAUUUAUUUUCCUUUUUUCCCCCUGUUUUUGGUGUUUUUUUUUUUUUUUUUAUAAAUGAUCUAAAAACUUCUUCUAUGUUUCUCGACGACGGUUUAGUUUUUUUCUGUAUUUGUUCAUCUUCUCUUUUACGUUAUCCAGUUUCCUCCGCUUCUUGCUUAUUACAUCCUGUAAAAUUCCUUAAAAAAUUCGAACGAAGAGCAACAAACAGGAAGUGUUCUGCAUCCAAUUGUUUCUAUAAUCAACGAAGAUCAUAGACGAGUGGGGUUUUUCCAAUUUCGGGAUUUGUGAAGACAGACAAAUGCGUAAAAUUGGAGAAAUAUCUAGGUGGUAUGUUUCAUUUUUAUUUAUUUAUUUUAUGUUUGAACUCUGAUAUUUUUUUUGAUUAAUUUGCAAAUUAGCAUUAAAUUAUGUACGUUUGUUUGGAAGUAUUCAUGGAAUUGACGGAAUUGGUUGAANNNNNNNNNNNNNNNNNNNNNNNNNNNNNNNNNNNNNNNNNNNNNNNNNNNNNNNNNNNNNNNNNNNNNNNNNNNNNNNNNNNNNNNNNNNNNNNNNNNNCAACUUUUGUACUCUUGAUAUCCAAGUUUUAUAUUCAGUUUUUCCGUAGCUCCAAAUAAUUACACUACACGAUGAUCCCCUUAUAUAAGUUUUGCAUAAAAAGUUUUGCAUAAUUUUUAAGAAUAUAAUCGUUUCAAAUAAAUUGGGUUUAUCUAAGGUUUUGCUUUUAAUUUGUUUAGUAAUGAGUUAUGAUUUUAUUUGCUAUAAUUUAGGUUUAAAAAGCAAUAGUAUUCUGAUGAAGCGAGAAAUUAAAUUAGUAUUUUGACAUGUAAUUUCAGUUAAAUGCUAUGUUUGAAAUUUAAUUAAGCAAUGUGGAAUCUGGACAUAGUAUUUUGAAUUUACAUUUCGAAGAAAAGUUUGAGUGACCAUUUUGCUAUAGUGAUGUCCAAUACUUUUCCGAUGUUUUUUAUUGCUUUCUUUCGAGGUCCUUCUAAUUUAUCAAUGUCUUUUAUCUUUUUCACAGCUUAGCUUUAUUAUUUGGUAUAACCGCAGGUUGUAUACAUUUCAAUUGUCUGACAAUUAAACAUACAAAAGAGUAGGGAAAAGCAAGUUUUUUCGGGUAUGAAUUUUUUGACUUCCGCGUGUUUUUUAAAAGCAGUAGCGAAAAGCAAUAGGGUUCUUAUUUUCAAUUCUUUCUUCAUAUAAGAUAUGAAAGUGUGUGCGCUAAUGUGUUUCGUGCAAUGCAAUUUAUGUGUGUGAUGUACUGUGUUUAUGUUUGUGUUUGUAUUUCGUAAGGGCAGAUUUUAUAAAUUAAAUGCAUCUCAUUGGAUUUUUUUCUGAUUUCUAUAAGCAGUUAGUAAUUCUGGAUUUUAGAUUCAUAAUUUGUUUUACCGUAUUUUAGAAAUUUUUUUACCGGAUUUUAGAGUGUUAGUGAUAGUCUUUUUAAGUGUUUUGCUGCAGUGAGGUGAUUCUAUUCCGUCGGUCACAUUCAUAUCCGUAGUAGGAUUGUUAAGUUGGCUUCCGUAUGAUGUCUUAUAGGUUCUUUAAUUGAUAGUCAAGUGUUUUGGUUAUGUCAUCUUAUGUUUUGUUACUACCCUACCCCUUUCCAACAUUACACAAACACACACUAUUUUCCUUCAAAUACUAUUAGUUAUAUUUUUUGUUGCUUUUCUUGCAGAUGAUAAUAUUGGCCGCUUUACCAAAAUUCUCCCCCAUAUAAGGUUAGUGGAUCAACCAUGCACUAUAUUUACGACUUUAUGUUCUUCCAAAAAUCAGGGUCUUAUAAUGAUUAUCGAUCGAUGGGAGCUUUAUGGUUUUUCAGGUCUCCGAAGGUUUUCAAAUUUCAAAUUAUUUGUAGUUAUUAUGAUUUCACUAUUAGCACCCGUGUGGGAACUAUCGAAUUCAAAAAACAAGUUCUUAUUUUUUUAUAGAAAUUUUAAUUAAGGGAAAGGAAAAACUUUUUUGUAUUCUUAGUGAGGUUUAUGCUCAUUAUACUAGAUUAUAUUGACAUUCAUCUGGAUAUGAGUUGGAUAUGAGUAAACUGCACCAUUUGUAAUUAUUGAUUACGAUGAAGCCUAUCAAAUAUAAAUGUG
This 2510-nucleotide long non-coding RNA is filed under the name Erythranthe guttata (spotted monkey flower). Its description in RNAcentral is "long non-coding RNA (EGUT_LNC002112)". The record is from RNAcentral. Lineage: Eukaryota; Viridiplantae; Streptophyta; Magnoliopsida; Lamiales; Phrymaceae.